GGGAUGUGCUCACAAUGAAGGUCCGGAACAGUGGCUCUUCUGUGUUUAACACACCUAAUAGCCAUUUGUGGGCUUUUGUGAGGAAGCAAACAAAAAUGUGUACCUUCCUGUGAAUAAAUGCCUUGCCUUG
This is a small nucleolar RNA of Perognathus longimembris pacificus (Pacific pocket mouse), 130 nucleotides long. RefSeq annotates it as small nucleolar RNA SNORA11. The record is from RefSeq and is a predicted model, not a curated record. The transcript has a single exon. NCBI's taxonomy places the organism in Eukaryota, Metazoa, Chordata, Mammalia, Rodentia, Heteromyidae.